Molecule: small nuclear RNA, 37 nt
Filed under: Cervus elaphus hippelaphus
Lineage: Eukaryota; Metazoa; Chordata; Mammalia; Artiodactyla; Cervidae
Source: RNAcentral
AUAGCUUCUCGGCCUUUUGGCUAAGAUCAAGUGUAAU